Molecule: long non-coding RNA, 751 nt
Organism: Mustela lutreola (European mink)
Lineage: Eukaryota; Metazoa; Chordata; Mammalia; Carnivora; Mustelidae
Exons: 3
Source: RefSeq, a predicted model, not a curated record
UCUUCUGUGCAGUGUGGGGAGAGGAAAACACUUUCUGCGAGGAGAGUCAGUGUGGAGUAGAGCAGUUACCUGAUGGCUUUUCCAGAGUUCUGGGAAGAACAGCUGUCCCGCUGUUGAGACUUUCUGCUGCAUCUUUGUUUUCCAUUUCGGCGAUUUCUGCUCUUUUACCUUCUCCUUCAUUCUAUAUCCUUUGGGUUUAUUCUUGUGUUGUGUUUUAACUUCUUAUUUUAGGUUCACGCCGAAACAACCGACAUAGCUCAGUGACUCAACACACAAGAGUUUACAUGUUCUUCACGCGCACUCCUCUGCGGGUGUGCUGGCUGGGCAACUCUCCAUACCAGCUCUCCUCCAGCCAGCGGCUCAGGGACUCAGCACAACCUGACGUCCAUCGGCACAACAACGUUUGCGCGGUGCUUUAUUCUUCCAAUGGAAGAAGGCUCUGCAGCGAGAGAACACGAAUGAAUCCCAGCUCUUCACAUCCAAGACGAAAUCUAGGAACACGAUGCUGAGUGGAACGAGGAAGUGCCAGCAUUCAACCCACAGGGUAACACUCCAUUACCUUCCAAAAGAGGCUGGCCAGUUUCUUACAUUUCACUAAAGUAGAAGAACCGUUACAUAUGCAUGUUCAGACCCAUCGUGAAUGACUCAUGUGGCUGCAACAUGGAGAGAUCGGCAGUUCUCACGGACCCUGAACUCGACAAACAUUCCUGCUUUCCUUAACAUUCCUUUCCUAUUGCCUCAAUUAAAUAAU